GAUGAACGCUAGCGGGAGGCCUAACACAUGCAAGCCGAGCGGUAUUGUUUCUUCGGAAAUGCGAGAGCGGCGUACGGGUGCGUAACACGUGUGCAACCUGCCUUUAUCUGGGGGAUAGCCUUUCGAAAGGAAGAUUAAUACUCCAUAAUAUAUUGAACGGCAUCGUUUAAUAUUGAAAGCUCCGGCGGAUAGAGAUGGGCACGCGCAAGAUUAGCUAGUUGGUGAGGUAACGGCUCACCAAGGCGAUGAUCUUUAGGGGGCCUGAGAGGGUGAUCCCCCACACUGGUACUGAGACACGGACCAGACUCCUACGGGAGGCAGCAGUGAGGAAGAUUGGUCAAUGGGUGCAAGCCUGGACCAGCCAUCCCGCGUGAAGGACGACUGCCCUAUGGGUUGUAAACUUCUUUUGUAUAGGGAUAAACCUACCCUCGAGAGGGUAGCUGAAGGUACUAUACGAAUAAGCACCGGCUAACUCCGUG
RNAcentral lists this ribosomal RNA (479 nucleotides) under uncultured bacterium. Its description in RNAcentral is "partial 16S ribosomal RNA". It matches the Rfam family "Bacterial small subunit ribosomal RNA", at positions 28 to 507 of the family's 1533-position model. The record is from RNAcentral.